This 508-nucleotide ribosomal RNA is filed under the name uncultured bacterium. RNAcentral describes it as "partial 16S ribosomal RNA". It matches the Rfam family "Bacterial small subunit ribosomal RNA", at positions 30 to 523 of the family's 1533-position model. The record is from RNAcentral.
AUUGAACGCUGGCGGCAUGCCUUACACAUGCAAGUCGAACGGCAGCGGGGGAGAAGCUUGCUUUUCCUGCCGGCGAGUGGCGAACGGGUGAGUAAUACAUCGGAACGUGCCCUGUAGUGGGGGAUAACUAGUCGAAAGAUUAGCUAAUACCGCAUACGACCUGAGGGUGAAAGUGGGGGACCGCAAGGCCUCAUGCUAUAGGAGCGGCCGAUGUCUGAUUAGCUAGUUGGUGAGGUAAAGGCCUACCAAGGCGACGAUCAGUAGCUGGUCUGAGCGGACGAUCAACCACACUGGGACUGAGACACGGCCCAGGCUCCUACGGGAGGCAGCAGUGGGGAAUUUUGGACAAUGGGCGAAAGCCUGAUCCAGCAAUGCCGCGUGUGUGAAGAAGGCCUUCGGGUUGUAAAGCUCUUUCGGCAGGAACGAAACGCUCUAGAUUAAUACUCUGGGGUAAUGACGGUACCUGAAGAAGAAGCACCGGCUAACUACGUGCCAGCAGCCGCCGUAA